Molecule: transfer RNA, 67 nt
Filed under: Stegodyphus mimosarum
Lineage: Eukaryota; Metazoa; Arthropoda; Arachnida; Araneae; Eresidae
Rfam family: tRNA
About the family: Transfer RNA (tRNA) molecules are approximately 80 nucleotides in length. Their secondary structure includes four short double-helical elements and three loops (D, anti-codon, and T loops). Further hydrogen bonds mediate the characteristic L-shaped molecular structure. tRNAs have two regions of fundamental functional importance: the anti-codon, which is responsible for specific mRNA codon recognition, and the 3' end, to which the tRNAs corresponding amino acid is attached (by aminoacyl-tRNA synthetases). tRNAs cope with the degeneracy of the genetic code in two manners: having more than one tRNA (with a specific anti-codon) for a particular amino acid; and 'wobble' base-pairing, i.e. permitting non-standard base-pairing at the 3rd anti-codon position.
Source: Rfam by way of RNAcentral
GCCUUCGUGGUGUAGUGGUCAGCACUCAGUAUUCCAGAGGUCCGUGGUUCGAGUCCCGGCGAAGGCU